AGAGUUUGAUCCUGGCUCAGGACGAACGCUGGCGGCGUGCUUAACACAUGCAAGUCGAGCGGAAAGGCCCUUCGGGGUACUCGAGCGGCGAACGGGUGAGUAACACGUGGGCAACCUGCCCUCAGCUCUGGGAUAACUCCGGGAAACCGGGGCUAAUACCGGAUACGACCUGCCCUGGCAUCGGGGUGGGUGGAAAGUUCUUCGGCUGAGGAUGGGCCCGCGGCCUAUCAGCUUGUUGGUGGGGUGACGGCCUACCAAGGCGACGACGGGUAGCCGGCCUGAGAGGGCGACCGGCCACACUGGGACUGAGACACGGCCCAGACUCCUACGGGAGGCAGCAGUGGGGAAUAUUGCGCAAUGGGCGGAAGCCUGACGCAGCGACGCCGCGUGAGGGAUGAAGGCCUUCGGGUUGUAAACCUCUUUCAGCAGGGACGAAGCGAGAGUGACGGUACCUGCAGAAGAAGCACCGGCCAACUACGUG
RNAcentral lists this ribosomal RNA (481 nucleotides) under uncultured Actinomycetales bacterium. RNAcentral describes it as "bacterial SSU rRNA". It matches the Rfam family "Bacterial small subunit ribosomal RNA", at positions 8 to 507 of the family's 1533-position model. Lineage: Bacteria; Bacillati; Actinomycetota; Actinomycetes; Actinomycetales. The record is from RNAcentral.